Long non-coding RNA from Rhineura floridana, 1173 nucleotides. RefSeq lists it as uncharacterized. The transcript has 6 exons. The record is from RefSeq and is a predicted model, not a curated record. Lineage: Eukaryota; Metazoa; Chordata; Lepidosauria; Squamata; Rhineuridae.
ACAGACAAACUCUGAGAAACAUGACUGAAUUAGCAAGGCAAUCUGGGCUUUUCCUUGCUCAAGCAACUCUUCUACAAUUUGGAUAAGGACGCCAGCAGGGAGCUAGGCCUUUCUGGGCAAACCAUUCUGCUCCCUGCUGCCUCCAGACACCGUGGAGCCACUCAAGGGAGCUGCUACCAACCAGAGAAAGCCUUUUGACACCCAUCACUGAAGUCUUGAUAUAACAGUUCAACUGCCGCAAGGGCUCAGCCUAGCAACUACUGCUGCUCCACCAAGUAGCUUGCAUAUCCUUUCCUCCCCCACGGACUUCAUCCUCACAACAGCCCUGAGAGGAGCCCCCAGCUAGUGAAGGCCCAGCCUAAGGUGUCAUGCAUUUCUGCGAUCCAAUGCAGAGGAGAGGCUGCAGCCGUCGGAAGUGGAGGAGUAGAUCGUAAGGAGAUGGCCGCCGAUUGCCUGCGAGGCCUGACCUUGAAAAGACCAUUGAGAAGCGAUGACCAUUCGUCCCAGGAGGCAAGCAAGUGCGCCGUUGAUGUUGACCAGGAAGGUGGAGGAAGGGCCCAUCAGCUGCAACAGCCCCUCCGGAUGUGCCUGGCCUUCAGCAAGAAACAGCUGAGCAAGUUGGAGAGAAGCUUCAGAGGGCAAAACUAUCUGGAAUGGCAGAAAAGGGGUCGUUUGGCCACUGCUCUGCACCUCACAGAAGAGCAGGUUAAAACCUGGUUUCAGAAUCGCAGGAUGAAACUUAAGCGACAGUUGCAGGGCCAUCACCAAGGCCUCUGACCUUCAUCUCUCUCUUCUCUAUUAUACCAGACCAAGAUCCCAUCCAGCCUGCUUGAUGAGUUUGCCAUGCGUUCUCCUUUUCUACAUCUGCAAAUUGCUCUUCCUCUUAUGCCAAAUUUUGCCCUGCCAUACUAUCUUCCUGGUUCCAUGUAUCAACUCCUCCAAAAUCCAUGUUCUCCACUCCUAACACCUAGUUUGCCUUACCACUUUCUACCUCAAUUAUCAGGAUAUUCAACUGAAGACUGUAAUGUUAGACUCUUGGCAACCUUCUCAAAUUCCUAAAUUAGGAGAUGGGGAAGAGCAAUAGGAUCUUGUUUAAAAAUACUUUGAUUUUAUUGCAGAGCAUAUAGUAGUCAAUGUAGAAUAAUAUCUAAAAUGUGCUGGUUGAAUAAAUGG